This 292-nucleotide ribosomal RNA is filed under the name uncultured bacterium. RNAcentral's name for it is "partial 16S ribosomal RNA". It matches the Rfam family "Bacterial small subunit ribosomal RNA", at positions 505 to 796 of the family's 1533-position model. The record is from RNAcentral.
GUGCCAGCAGCCGCGGUAAUACGAGAGGCCCAAACGUUAUUCGGAUUUACUGGGCUUAAAGAGUUCGUAGGCGGUUCGGUAAGUGAGGUGUGAAAGCCCUCGGCUCAACCGAGGAAUUGCGCUUCAAACUGCCGGGCUCGAGGGAGAUAGAGGUGAGCGGAACUGAUGGUGGAGCGGUGAAAUGCGUUGAUAUCAUCAGGAACACCAGAGGCGAAGGCGGCUCACUGGGUCUCUUCUGACGCUGAGGAACGAAAGCUAGGGGAGCAAACGGGAUUAGAAACCCCCGUAGUCC